Molecule: non-coding RNA, 862 nt
Organism: Schizosaccharomyces pombe (fission yeast)
Lineage: Eukaryota; Fungi; Ascomycota; Schizosaccharomycetes; Schizosaccharomycetales; Schizosaccharomycetaceae
Source: the annotation of a GenBank genome assembly
AUGUCAUUAACUCAUAUAUUCAUUUACCAGAUGCGAACUAUGCAAAAAAAACUAUACAACAAAAUUACCAUUCAUCACUAGUUCCUUCCUGUUCCAAAAACGAAAUCAUGUACUCAUCAAUGUGCCCCACAGUCUCAUCCAAGUCUUCCUCUAACUCACUUCUAUCUUCAUCCAUGUCAUUCGUGUUUGAUUGUUCCUCUGUUGAGUCUCUUUCAAAACCAGGGGUUGCACUAUCAGACGAUAGAGGAGUAGAGUCUUUGGUUAACAUAGCUUGAGGAGUAGAUGUUUCACUGAACUCGGUUUGUUCAAGAGCACUUUCUUUUCGGGCCACUUGAGCAGCUUGGACGUCUUCUUCAUCUUCAGCAGCGGCUAAUGCUACUUCCCAGUUUUCCUCGUUUUUUGUAGAACCAGAAUCAGAAUCAGCUUUGACUUUCUUGAGUGAUUCGUCAUCCAGAUCAAAUAGAUCAAGUACAUCAGCUUUACGGAACCAUUCAGUAGUAAAUUCUCCACCCUGGAUGACUAUUUUAUCCAGCAUUCGUUUUUGGUUGGCCCGACGCAACAUAUUAGAUUCAACCGUAUAUUCACUAAUCAAACGAUAAAUGUGCACAUCACGGGUCUGCCCAAUUCUGUGUGAUCUAUCUUGAGCUUGCGCAUCCAAUUGUGGAUUCCAAUCCGAGUCAUAAAAAAUUACAGUGUCAGCGCCAGUUAAGUUUAUACCUAAACCACCACUUCUCGUUGAAAGUAUAAAAACUGGAAUCUUAUCGUCAUUGUUAAACCGUUCAGUUAGUAUUUGUCUUUGCUCUAUCUUGGUAGCUCCGUCAAGACGUAAAUAGCGAUGUCCGUGAAUAUUAAGGAAUUGUUC